Medicago truncatula (barrel medic) is the source of this 2246-nucleotide long non-coding RNA. RefSeq lists it as uncharacterized. The record is from RefSeq and is a predicted model, not a curated record. The transcript is spliced from 3 exons. Lineage: Eukaryota; Viridiplantae; Streptophyta; Magnoliopsida; Fabales; Fabaceae.
AUUUAAUUUUAAGUAAAAGAAAGAAAGAAUAAAAGCCACUUCAUAUUUUCUUCUUCCUCUCUUGCCUGUACGACUCUUUCUUCUUAUUCUUUCUCAUUUUUUCGUCACCACCACCACCAACUUCCGGUCACCAUAACUUUUCCGUCCGGCCUCCUUUAAAAUCCCCACCACCACCAUUGAAUUCCUCUCUUCUUUCUCUACAAAAGCCCUCAAUUUAUUUUUAGAUUGAAGAAGUUUAAUUUUUGAGAUCUCCCCCUUCUCUCUUGUUUUCCGGCCACCGUGAGUUGCCAUUGGGAAAACCAAACCCACCAUAUUCUUCCUCGUGAUGUCAGCAACAAAACCCCUAUGUUUAUUUUGCAAUAGUAGCAACUUUGUCGGCGACCACCGUGCCGGAGUUCACCUCUGCCGCGCCGGAAAAGUGGUUGACGGCCAUUUACUCCAUUUUUCUCCUUCUUGUUGAGUUUCAUCUUCCUUCCCUCCUCUAAAGUGUAUUGUAGGAGUUUUGUAUACGCAUUUUCGGAUUUUUGAACCAGGACAUUAUUUAAACAUGUUUUUGGCGAUUUAUUCUCCGUUUUGAUGUUCACGGAUGAAGGGUGGGUGUUACCUGUGGAGUAGUUGAGACCGUGACCCAUUGAGAGAUUAGGGAUUUUAUACACUUAGUGAGUAAGAUUAGAGAAAGAUUAGGGUCCAUGAUAGAUUAGAUAUUAAGGAAUUUAAGUCCUGGGUUCAGUGAUUAAUUUUGAGAGAUUUGGGAUUUUAGGGUUUGAGUUCAGUGAUUAACUGUACCAUUUCUCUAUCAGUUUUUAAUAUUUAUUUUCAUCUAAUUUUAUAACUUCACAUCUCUCUAUUAUUUGUUUCAUUCUCAGGUGAAGUACUAAAGAGGGCUUAAAAUCAUAUCUCUCUAAUGCAUAUGGUGGAUAAAUAAAAAUAUUAUGACUAACUUGUUUACUGAUGUGAUGUGGUGAAACUAACUCCAAGGCGUAUUGUGAUUCUAAUGCAUACAUACUGUGAUUCUAAUAGAUACAAUGGAUAGCAAAGGAAGGUGACACACUGGUUCCAGUUAUACACAAUAGGUGGGAUGGGAUGAGUUACACAAUAGUUGAUUUGUUAAAAUUGCUCUUGGAACAAUUGGAUAAUUAUGUUAAUUGAAUUGGAAUGCAAACUGAAUAUAUUGGAAUGUAAUAGCAGGAAAGUGCCAAUGUCGAUGGAAUAUUUGUGGCUGGAAGCUCCUAUUUGUGUAGGCCUAAUUGUUAUUGUAUUGUACUCCUUUUGACCUUUGUUUGCAAAUAGUAUUUUCACUUUAGCGUAUUAUUUACAAUAGCUAUUAGUUCCAUUUAGUUACUUUACUUUUUUAUUAUGAGCCAGUUUUUUUUUUCUUCCAGUUAUGAAUUUGAAGACUUCUAAAUUUUAACUAUACUUUCAAAUAUCAAAUUGCAGUGAGGGAGGACUUGUGAGCUUCGAAGAAAAAUUUCAACAAAACAUAAGAUGAUUUGAAGUUUCUUCUAAGUGUUGGAAAUAUAAUUGACGUUGUUCUCAAGCCUCUCGACAAUGAUGGUUUAUAAGGAAAUUGAGAUGUAGUUUGCAUCCAAGAUGGAGCAUACUUUUCAUUUUCUGCGGUGGUUAUGGUUGAAUCCUUGAUGAGGAGCAAGCUAUGAAGAGGAAAAACAAGUUUUCAUGGGUUACUUGUAUUUUAGUCUGUUUUGUGCUGCUGGGUGUUUAGUCUGUUUCGUGCUGCUGUUUGGGUUCAUUAGGGGUGGUGUGACUCUGUUUUAGCAGGUUUGACAGGCUGCUGUGUUUGGGGGCGUUGGCAGGUGCUGCUGUUGGUGUUGGGUUGCUGUCGUGGCUCCUUGCUUCUGUGCAGCUGCUGAUUUUUCGUUGGCUUUCCCCUCCUAGCCUUUGCGGGUGGCAGAUUGUGAGGCGGAGGUAUUCUAGGGGUGGUAGUACCUUCGUACAUUGCUUGGUGUGUUUUUGUUUUUGGCAGCCUUCAAUAUACCUUGGCCUCAUUUUUUCUAGGAGUUUAGGCGUGUAGCCUUGGUUGGGCAUUUAUGUAUUUCUGUUCCUUUCCGUGAGUUGUUGGUGUUUCUUUCACCCUCUCGACGAAGAAUAAAAUUAGCUGUUAAAAAAAAAAAAGGAUACUUUUAUUUUAUCAUAAGUAGAAAUAUUUGUAGUGGUUAAUAUUUAAUUGAGCUGGAAAUAAUUGUACAUUAAUGUUAUUUUUUAAUUGAGCUGGAAAUAUUGUACAUUAA